This 216-nucleotide ribosomal RNA is filed under the name Glomeromycotina sp. RNAcentral's name for it is "partial small subunit ribosomal RNA". The stretch from base 40 to 216 matches the Rfam family "Eukaryotic small subunit ribosomal RNA", at positions 686 to 864 of the family's 1831-position model. The record is from RNAcentral. Lineage: Eukaryota; Fungi; Glomeromycota.
GGGUCAGUAGGUUGGUCGUGCCACCGGUACGUACUGGUCUCACUGAUUCCUCCUUCCUGAAGAACCGUAAUGCCAUUAAUUUGGUGUUGCGGGGAAACAGGACUGUUACUUUUAAAAAAUUAUAGUGUUUAAAGCAAGAUAACGCUUGAAUACAUUAGCAUGGAAUAAUGAAAUAGGACGAUCGAUCCUAUUAUGUUGGUUUCUAGGAUUGACGUA